GACGAACGCUGGCGGCGUGCCUAACACAUGCAAGUCGAGCGGAGAUAGACUGAUGGUAACUGAAGUUUGUCUUAGCGGCGGACGGGUGAGUAACACGUGGGCAACCUGCCUUGGAGUGGGGGAUAACACCGGGAAAUCGGUGCUAAUACCGCAUAACAUACACAAACUGCAUGGUAAGUGUAUCAAAGGAGCAAUCCGCUUUAAGAUGGGCCCGCGGCUGAUUAGCUAGUUGGUAAGGUAACGGCUUACCAAGGCGACGAUCAGUAGCCGACCUGAGAGGGUGACCGGCCACACUGGAACUGAGACACGGUCCAGACUCCUACGGGAGGCAGCAGUGGGGAAUAUUGCGCAAUGGGGGAAACCCUGACGCAGCAACGCCGCGUGGAGGAAGAAGGUCUUCGGAUUGUAAACUCCUGUCUUCUGGGACGAAGUAUGACGGUACCAGAGGAGGAAGCCACGGCUAACUACGUG
Molecule: ribosomal RNA, 471 nt
Filed under: uncultured bacterium
Lineage: Bacteria
Description: bacterial SSU rRNA
Rfam family: Bacterial small subunit ribosomal RNA
Source: RNAcentral